This 427-nucleotide ribosomal RNA is filed under the name uncultured bacterium. RNAcentral describes it as "partial 16S ribosomal RNA". It matches the Rfam family "Bacterial small subunit ribosomal RNA", at positions 355 to 774 of the family's 1533-position model. The record is from RNAcentral.
UGGGGAAUAUUGCACAAUGGGCGCAAGCCUGAUGCAGCCAUGCCGCGUGUAUGAAGAAGGCCUUCGGGUUGUAAAGUACUUUCAGUGAGGAGGAAGGCGUUGUGGUUAAUAACCGCAACGAUUGACGUUACUCGCAGAAGAAGCACCGGCUAACUCCGUGCCAGCAGCCGCGGUAAUACGGAGGGUGCAAGCGUUAAUCGGAAUUACUGGGCGUAAAGCGCACGCAGGCGGUCUGUCAAGUCGGAUGUGAAAUCCCCGGGCUCAACCUGGGAACUGCAUCCGAAACUGGCAGGCUAGAGUCUUGUAGAGGGGGGUAGAAUUCCAGGUGUAGCGGUGAAAUGCGUAGAGAUCUGGAGGAAUACCGGUGGCGAAGGCGGCCCCCUGGACAAAGACUGACGCUCAGGUGCGAAAGCGUGGGGAGCAAACA